GUAGCCUUAACGAUAAGACAGCAGUGCCAUCCGCAUACUACACAAGGCUUGACCUGCCAUUCAGUGCAGAGAUUCUCAGGGCUCCAUGUUUUAUUAUUUCGCAGGAUCGGAGGUUGUCUGGAUGCUUGAAAAAGAAAUCCCUAUCCUGAGACAGAGCGGCGGACGUGAUUCUUCCAAGUGCAUUUUUAUGGAAUAAAAACAGCCAUCAUGUCAGGGAAAUCUGAAGUAAAGAACAAGUGGGCGGCUGUCAGGGGCCGCUUGGGCUCCUCACAGGACUCAGACACCCAGCAGGAGGCCAACUUGGAGAGCGCCGAUCCAGAGCUGUGCAUCAGGCUGCUGCAGGUCCCCACUGUGGUCAACUACUCAGGCUUGAAGCGGCGCCUGGAGGGCAGCGACCAGACAUGGAUGGUGCAGUUCUUGGAGCUGAGCGGGUUGGAUCUCCUCCUGGAAGCUCUGGACCGGCUCUCCGGGCGGGGAUGCUCUCGUAUUGCUGACGCCCUCCUGCAACUCACCUGCGUCAGCUGUGUGCGUGCGGUCAUGAACUCCUCUGCAGGGAUCCACUUCAUUAUAGAGAACGAGGGAUACAUACGGAAGCUCUCACAAGCUUUGGACACUUCCAACAUCAUGGUGAAGAAGCAAGUAUUUGAGCUGCUGGCUGCCCUCAGCAUGUUCUCUGCAGAAGGCCACUGCCUGGCACUGGACGCCCUGGACCACUACAAGGGUGUGAAGACACAGCAGUAUCGCUUCAGCGUGAUCAUGAAUGAAAUGCAGGCCACAGAUAAUGUUCCAUACAUGGUGACACUCCUUAGUGUCAUCAACGCCAUCAUCUUCGGGACAGAUGACCUCAGGAAGAGAGAUAAGACGAGGAAGGAGUUUAUUGGACUCCAACUUCUUGAUAUUCUGCCAAAGUUAAGGGAGCAGGAGGAUGAAGAUUUGAUCAUUCAAUGUGAAGCUUUUGAAGAAGCAAUGGCUGAGGAUGAGGAGGAGCUGCUGCGUGUGUACGGGGGCAUUGACAUGAGUAAUCACCUGGAGGUUUUCACUACACUCUUUAACAAGGUGAGCAGCUCUCCAGCCUCUCUGCAGCUGCUGUCCAUCCUGCAGACGAUGUUGGUGCUUGGCCCAAGCCGUUCGGAUAUUUGGCUGGCUCUGGAGGCUAUCACAAACAGAGCCACUUUGCUGGCCCAGGACUCUCAGAUGGAGACCUGUGAGAAGAUCAUGCAGCGGCUGAUGUUCUCUAAAGGGAGCAGUGUUACAGAUCACCAUGAAUUGGAUGGACUCAUCAUGAAGGUGGAUAAAGCUGUUCAAACUGGUCUGGAUUAUGAGGAUGAUAAAAAGACAGACACAAUCAUCACUUCUUCUCAGAAGCCGUUGUGUGCCUCUCCUCCUCCACCUCCCCCUCCACCUCCUCCCCCUCCUCCUCCCCUACCCCCUGGCAUCAGCGGAGCUCCACCUCCUCCUCCACCCCCACCUCCUCCACCACCGCUCCCUGGAGGGUUCGGUGGACCUCCGCCACCUCCUCCGUUACCCGGGAUGCCGCCGCCGCCGCCACCACCACCACUUCCUGGCAUGGCUCCUCCGCCGCCUCCACCACCACUUCCUGGCAUGGCUCCUCCGCCACCUCCACCGCCCCUACCAGGGAUGGGUGGCGGACCACCACCACCACCUCCCUUACCGGGGAUGCCGCCUCCACCUCCUCCUCCCCCAGGCAUGAUAAUGGCUCAGAGCAGUCAGGUGCUUGGUUAUGCUGCGCCUGCAAAGACGAGCCGAUGCCCCACCCUGAGGAUGAAAAAGCUCAACUGGCAGAAACUCCGAGCUGUAACGGAUGGUCCCUCCAUGUGGGCCUCGGUUCAGAAGGAGCCUCCUCCUCGGGAGCCGGACUACAGCAGUAUCGAGCAGCUGUUCUGUCUCCCAGUGACCGAGCACAAAGACAAGGGGGCAGCUGCACCUGUCAAGAAGGAGCCUAAAGAGAUUACAUUUAUUGAUCCAAAGAAAAACUUGAAUUUAAACAUAUUCCUAAAGCAGUUUAAAUGCACAAAUGAGGACUUUGUAGCCAUGAUUCAGAAAGGGGACCGUUCUAGGUUUGAUGUGGAGGUGCUCAAACAGCUUCUGAAGCUCCUACCUGAGAAGCACGAGAUUGAAAACUUGAAAUCAUUCCAAGGAGAAAAAGAGAAGCUGGCAAAUGUUGAUCGUUUUUACACCUUCCUGCUCACAGUGCCAUGUUAUCAGCUGAGGAUUGAGUGCAUGUUGUUGUGCGAGGAGACUUCUUCAGUGUUGGAGAUGCUCAAACCUAAAGUUAAGCUGGUGGAAGAGGCCUGCCAGUCCAUCAGAGAGAGCACUCUCAUGCCCAGUUUCUGCAGACUCAUCCUUGACGUUGGAAAUUUUCUUAACUAUGGAAGUCACACAGGGAACGCCGAGGGGUUCAAGAUCAGCUCUCUGCUCAAGCUUACAGAAACGAAAGCCAACAAGAGCCGCAUUACACUGCUUCAUCACAUCCUGGAGGAAGCAGAGGUUAACCACCCAGAACUGCUGGAUCUGCCAGAAGAUAUCGAGAUCUGUGAGAAAGCAGCAGGAGUUAAUCUGGACUCUGUUCAGUCAGAAGCCAGUGCCUUACUAAAACGACUGAACGAGACGGCCAAGAAGGUCUCCAACUCUGUUGAAGAGGUUAAAGAGCAGUAUGCCAAAGUUAUUGAAGAAAGCGUGGAGGCGUGUCAGGCUCUGACUGAAAGGUUCACUGCCAUUGAGAAGAAAAAGAGCGAUCUAGCUGUGUAUUUAUGCGAAGACUCAAAUAAGCUGUCACUCGAGGAACUCUUUGGAACCAUCAAGACUUUUCGAGGACUUUUCAUUAAAGCGCUGAAGGAAAACAAAACGAGAAGAGAGCAGGCGGCCAAGGCAGAGAAGAGAAAGAAGCAGCUGGCAGAGGAAGAAUCCAAGAGACAGAAGGGAGAGAACGGAAAAAUAAUCAAGAAAGGCUUUGUGCCACAGAAUGACGGCUGCAUCAUCGAUCACCUCCUGGCGGAUAUCAGGAAAGGUUUCAGCUUAAGAAAGACCAGGCCAAGGUGCGAUUCGGAAAGCCUCCCUUCUAGUGAAAAGCAUAGGGAUACCCCGUCUGGAUCAAGUGUGAAGCCUGUCGAAGAAGAAGCCGCAGAAACAGCCACCAUUUCCGCGCCCACCAAACCUCAGACAGAGGGUCACCCAGUCACCGCAGGCGAAGUGAACGGCUUCAUCAGCCCUUCAGAAGAGGCUCCUCUGGCGCUGGAGAGUGCAGUGCAAGACGGGCCAGCUGCACCUCCCAGCACACCCCCAAUAAAACCAGCCAUGACAACACAGGCACCCCUGGAAAGGCCAACAUCACUGCAGGAGAAGCAACACCCACAGGAACCUUCAAUUUUACUGCUGGAUAUGACACAGCCUCAGGCUGAAGAGGAAUAUCAGACAUGUCAUCCUACAACAAACGGCUUUUCAUUGGGUUCAACUGAGACCAGCGCCAUCAGCCCGUCUUCCCUCUCAGAUUUAGACCUACUAGAGGCUGUCUUAGACAGCACGCCCAGCUCAGUACCAGAGAGGGCUAUACCUGAGGAGCCUGCAGACAUUAGUGUUAAUGUUCAACUUAAGGAAAGUCCUUCAGUUAAUACAGACAAUGUGACACAAGUAAGUAAAAGCAAUAUAAGAGAAGAAGAGAAAGGUGAAAUUAAUAAAAGCCAUUCAGCAGAGACUGCAGGACAAGAAAAGCAGGAACACAUUAUCGUAAAAACGUGCAAGCAAGAUGACAUCAUCAGCCAUAAACAAUCAGACCCCAAAGGGAAUGUGGCCAAACUCGGUGAGGGUAUCGAGGGGUUUGACGUCCCAGAUGGGCAGGAAUCAGAUAUCCAAGAUCUGCCAUCAGUCUCUGAAUCAAUAUCCCCAUCAGUUAGACCUGAACCAAAGAAACAAGGGAGCAUCUUUAGACGAAGCAAAAAGAAGAGUAAUUCAGGUAUGCCAUCCAUAUCCACCAAUAAAGAAAAUGUUGGGAAUGUUAGUCGUUUGAUGUGUCUUAAAGGGAACUCCUUAUUUGUGUUGUUUUUAUUCCUUUUAACAUUUUAUAUUUUAUGCUUAGGCUGUUUUAGUGUAUAUUAAGUAUUUAGCAUGUGACAUGCAUUUUAUUAAAGAGUUUGGAUGCAGUGUGAAGCCCUUGAUUGAAUAUUGAAUGGAUGUCAAUAUGGCCAGUGUGUUUGAAUUCUCUGUUCUCCAUUCUGAAACACAAGGUAACAGUGGGAAAGGACACACUAGACAUAAAAAAGGCUGUGUGUUGCAGUGAGGUAGGUCAAAACGGUGGGAUGGCAAAACUGUAAGCAGGAACAUCAUCCUAAUGAGUUCAGUCACCGUCAAAGCUUUGUCCUGAAUAACACAUCAUUUGUUGGUCUAACUGGAUUAACUGGAUUUCAUUUGUCUCUGUUGUCCAGCUUUAGCACUUGCUCUCUCUUCAAUGCUUGUGCAAGUCAGUUGUGGUCAGGCCCAAAAUCCUAACAGCAUUCAGCCAAAUGUAUGUUGAGGUGUUUCUAAUGUGCAUCAGAUGAGGAGAGAACUAACCCUAAAGGUGACUCCAGAAAAAGAAAAUCAAGAGGGAAAAGAAAAUGUUAAUGCUACCGAACUGGAUGGACUGAAGUUUAUUUUAUUUAUUGAGAAAACACAAGAUUUGACUCUGGGGUGGAUGCAGAAGUCUUCCUUUUGCAGUGAUUUGUUUUCAAGACAAGAAGAGGAAACUCAUCUGAAGCUGGAACUGUCAACGAAAGAAUGUUAACAUGUCACUUUAUGUAAAUGAGUUGCAGCUUUUGUGUAUAAUGAUUGCUUUGGAUUCAGACAAAAAGAAGUGGAAUAUGCUUUCUAUGUUUUGUACAGUUAAAUGCAGUAAAUGUGUUUUUGCUAUGAGCUCUAUUAACUUGUGCAGAAAGAAAAGAUGCAGUGUUUGGUGCAAGAUGUUUAAUUCAUAAAAAAAAUGCUUUAAAUACAUGUCUUAAUUUAAACUUUAUAUACAUAUAUAUUAACAAGAUGAUCUCUAAUGAGAAAUAUCAGAAAAGCAUUUAAUGGAUUGUAACUUUUAAUGUUUAAUAUAUUUUAAUAAAAGUGAUUUUACUGUUCAA
Cheilinus undulatus (humphead wrasse) is the source of this 5117-nucleotide RNA transcript. It is a transcript of the gene named inverted formin 2, with no coding region annotated. Lineage: Eukaryota; Metazoa; Chordata; Actinopteri; Labriformes; Labridae. The transcript is spliced from 23 exons. The record is from RefSeq and is a predicted model, not a curated record.